Molecule: ribosomal RNA, 425 nt
Filed under: uncultured bacterium
Lineage: Bacteria
Description: partial 16S ribosomal RNA
Rfam family: Bacterial small subunit ribosomal RNA
Source: RNAcentral
GUGAGGAAUCUUAGACAAUGGGCGCAAGCCUGAUCUAGCCAUGCCGCGUGAGCGAUGAAGGCCUUAGGGUUGUAAAGCUCUUUCGUGGGGGAAGAUAAUGACUGUACCCCAAGAAGAAGCCCCGGCUAACUCCGUGCCAGCAGCCGCGGUAAUACGGAGGGGGCUAGCGUUGUUCGGAAUUACUGGGCGUAAAGCGCACGUAGGCGGACUGGAAAGUCAGGGGUGAAAUCCCGGGGCUCAACCCCGGAACUGCCUUUGAAACUCCCAGUCUUGAGUUCGAGAGAGGUGAGUGGAAUUCCGAGUGUAGAGGUGAAAUUCGUAGAUAUUCGGAGGAACACCAGUGGCGAAGGCGGCUCACUGGCUCGAUACUGACGCUGAGGUGCGAAAGCGUGGGGAGCAAACAGGAUUAGAUACCCUAGUAGUCC